Molecule: ribosomal RNA, 253 nt
Filed under: uncultured bacterium
Lineage: Bacteria
Description: partial 16S ribosomal RNA
Rfam family: Bacterial small subunit ribosomal RNA
Source: RNAcentral
UACGUAGGUGACAAGCGUUGUCCGGAUUUACUGGGCGUAAAGAGCGCGCAGGCGGUCGUUCAAGUCGAGUGUGAAAGCCCCCGGCUCAACUGGGGAGGGUCAUUCGAUACUGAUCGACUCGAAGGCAGGAGAGGGUAGUGGAAUUCCCGGUGUAGUGGUGAAAUGCGUAGAUAUCGGGAGGAACACCAAUGGCGAAGGCAGCUCGCUGGGACGGUACUGACGCUGAGGCGCGAAAGCGUGGGGAGCAAACAGG